Molecule: ribosomal RNA, 253 nt
Filed under: uncultured bacterium
Lineage: Bacteria
Description: partial 16S ribosomal RNA
Rfam family: Bacterial small subunit ribosomal RNA
Source: RNAcentral
UACGUAGGGGGCUAGCGUUGUCCGGAAUCAUUGGGCGUAAAGCGCGCGUAGGCGGUCAGGUAAGUCCGGUGUGAAAGUCAAAGGCUCAACCUUUGAAUGCCGCUGGAUACUGCCUGACUUGAGUCCGGAAGGGGCGAGUGGAAUUCCUGGUGUAGCGGUGAAAUGCGUAGAUAUCUGGAGGAACACCGGUGGCGAAGGCGGCAUCCUGGACCGAGAUUGACGCUGAUGCGCGAAAGCCAGGGGAGCAAACGGG